UCCCUAGUGGCUCAGAUGGUAAAGCGUCUGCCUGCAACGCAGAAGACAUGGAAGACUAGGGUUCAAUCCCUGGUUCGGAA
This 80-nucleotide transfer RNA is filed under the name Bos taurus (domestic cattle). It matches the Rfam family "tRNA". From Rfam's summary of the family: Transfer RNA (tRNA) molecules are approximately 80 nucleotides in length. Their secondary structure includes four short double-helical elements and three loops (D, anti-codon, and T loops). The record is from Rfam by way of RNAcentral. Lineage: Eukaryota; Metazoa; Chordata; Mammalia; Artiodactyla; Bovidae.